UGUAGCUUUGGAGCCUUUCCUGGAACUCACUCUGCAGCCCAGGCUGGUCUCAAACUCACAGAGAUCCGCCUGCCUCUGCCUCCCGAGUGCUGGGAUUAAAGGCAUGCACCACUACUGCCCGACUUGGAAAGAAACAUUUUAAAAGAAGAAGAAUCUACUUUGGCUCACUGUUUGGGGGUCUUGGUCCAUGGUCGGCUGACACCAUUGUGUCUGGGUCAGUGAUGAGGCAUCAUGGCAGAAGGGCAUGAGAACAGAACUGCUCACCUCACAGCCGGGAGACAGCGGGAGUCCCCGGGCUACUGAGUCCCUCUUCUUUCCUGUUAUUCCAUCCAGGACCCCAACCUGUUGGAUAACGUCUCAGGCAUUCAGGACAGGCCUUUGCUUUGCAGUUAAUCAUUUCUGGAAACACUCUCAGAGACAUACCAGAUGUACACCGUGAGAAACUCCUAGGCACUUCUCAGUCCAAUCAAGUUGUCAGCGAGACCAACCAUCACCCUGGAGAUGGCUUUGAUUCUCUUCUGCUGGAUCCCACCUCUGGAUGAUGCUCUGGGGCCAGAUAUGCCUCCUUUUCUAGCACCUAUGAGAAAGCCAGCCAGAACCUCCUGGUUCCACCUCAACCAAACACCAACUUCCUCAUUCGGUUCAAAGCUCUGUCUUCCCUUUACCAGACCUGGCCAUCCCCUUUUCUCUACCCUAUUCUUUUGUUUUUGUGGUGCUAGCCCACAAACCCAGGACUCAGAAGUGUUAGGUCAGUGUUUUGUCACUGAGAGACAUUCCUAGCCUGCCCAUUCUUCUGUUCCUCCUCCGCCUCUUACUCCAGGGUGGGUUAGGAAAUCAAGAUGGGGGAAGGGCAGAGACUUUAUCUAACUGAGAUCCUUGAGAAGAGCUAUUGUUGGGUGGCACCAGCAACUCCUCAGACUCGGCUACUUUUUAAAAAACCAGCAGGCUUACCAAAGACCUUGUCCCUACAGCUCACUCCUCACAUCCCACAGUGGCUCCUGCUUAUGUUGCUAAGGCACAUGUCCCCUCCCCCACCCCAUAUGCCACCCAUUCCGCCUGACACUUAGUCAUGUGUCCUAGCAAGCAAAUCUCUUCCCAGGCCCUCAACAGAGAUGUGAAGAUAGCUCUUCCCCAUGUGUCUGCUCUGCACCCCUCUGGAGGAGAGACCCCAUCAUCCUGCGUGAAUCACUGUCUGCUCUGCACCCCUCUGGAGGAGAGACCCCCAUCGUCCUGCAUGAAUCACUGUGUCUGCUCUGCACCCCUCUGGAGGAGAGACCCCCAUAUCCUGCAUGAAUCACUGUCUGCUCUGCACCCCUCCGGAGGAGAGACCCCCAUCGUCCUGCAUGAAUCACUGUGUCUGCUCUGCACCCCUCUGGAGGAGAGACCCCAUCAUCCUGCGUGAGUCAUUGUCUGCUCUGCACCCCUCUGGAGGAGAGACCCCCAUUGUCCUGCAUGAAUCACUGUGUCUGCUCUGCACCCCUCUGGAGGAGAGACCCCCAUCGUCCUGCAUGAAUCACUGUGUGCUCUGCACUCCUUUGAAGGAGAGACCCCAUCAUCCUACAUGAAUCACUGUGUCUGCUCUGCACCCCUCUGGAGGAGAGACCCCAUAAUCCUGCUUGAAUCACAGGCUAAACCCACUGAACCCAGCCCUGAACUAGCUGUCAGGACAAGGGGGACCAGAUCCCCCUUUAAAACCUAAGUGUUCAGGUAACUCCUGUCAGAGCUUCUAGGUAUGUGUCUGUGUCCCCUCAUAUGGCCUUAGGGGACAGAAAGUACCCAGGGUGGCACAUACGUCUCUUGGUAUCUUUCCUCGUCACUUUUAGAUUGAAGUGCUGAAAGGAUCAGCAGCCGAGAGCUUAGUGCUGUGAAUGGAUUACUGCCCUUGGAAAAGAGGCUCCAGGGCUUGACACCCUGUUUUCUAUCCACCGUUUUCCUGUUAAUGCUACUGUUCUGAGCUGCUCACCUGGAGCUGGGGAGCUCUGGACUCUACUAGUUCCAGGAGGUGAGUCAGUCAGGAGGCGCUUGUCUGGUGCUCACAGGUCUGAGUCUUCUCCUAGACCAUCCAAAUCCCAGGCCUGCACAGGACAGACAUGCUUCUGCAGCUCAAAAGGGCAAUGAGGAGGUUCCGGGAAUCGAACUCAUGUCUACAGGCUGUGUGGAAAGAACCUUUACCCACUAAGCUUUUUCAACUGGAGGUGUAGAGAAGAGUUUGCAAUCAUCUUCAAUCUAUAUGACGUAGAAAUAGAUGAGACUGGGAUUAGAAUCCAGGCUGGCCUGAAGCCUUCCUUCACAGUCACUUUGAGGCUUAAUUAUGAACCUGCUCAACCCCUGGAAAGCGGCCAUUAUUGAUUCUGGCGUUUGAAAGGGGAGUUAAGUGGCCAUCUCAACACCACUUAGCCUGAUAAAAAGGCCAGCACGUACAGGAGGAACCUGCUCCACCAAGAAGGCCUCAUCCUCCCACUGGGGGCUGUUGCCUUUUCCAGGCUUGGAAGCCACUGAGCCAGAUGCCUGUAAAACUCAAGUACUGGCAGCCCUUGGUGGCUGAGUGUUCUACCAUAGGACGCGGGCCCAGAUCCCUCCACUAGAACCUCUAAUAUGUAGGUGCUCUGACAUGCGCUAUUUGUAAUCAUGUGCAAAAGUCUGUGACCUUUAAAAUGUUUAAAUCACAUUUGUUUACUCA
Long non-coding RNA from Peromyscus californicus insignis, 2680 nucleotides. RefSeq lists it as uncharacterized. The record is from RefSeq and is a predicted model, not a curated record. The transcript is spliced from 4 exons. Lineage: Eukaryota; Metazoa; Chordata; Mammalia; Rodentia; Cricetidae.